GCAGGGAGCAUUUGCAGAGGCUUGGGAGGGAGUGGACGUGUCCCUGAUGCUAAGGGCAGAGGAGGAGCGGGGCCCUCGGGCAGCUGGAAGGGCAUCCUGAAAAGACGCCUGCCUGCCGCCGUUCUCCUGGCAGCAGGGCGCGCUGGGAAGCACCAGGCAGGAAGUGAAGAAUUUCCGGUUGUCAGCGGAGGGAUGGGGCGUCACCAAGUCUGUGGCAAGCACACCAAGAACCAGCUAAGUCCAAGGCUCACCUGCAUGGCAAAUGGUGAAGGUAAAGUCCAGCUGCCAGCCCAAAGUAGAGCGCUUUUACAGCAAGCUGCUCUCAAAUCAUUUCCAAAAUCAAAGUUGCUGUAGCUGCAGUCAGGGAACUUCAACAGGAUGUGGGCCAGGGGUAAGACAGAAGCAUAUCUUUACCUGGUUCUCCAUCUGGGAGAUGAGCAUCCCGAGGGAGAAGGACAAGACACCUCAAGCCCAGCUCCCACUGAAGGCAUAUGACCCAGAUCCUGAGAACCAGAUGCACCGGCCUGAGCUUUCGUCAGAAGCAAGGACACACAGAACCUUUCUUAGAGGCAUCAUUAGAGGACCGGACAUGGUGGCCAGAGGCUGCAGGGACAGAAGUCCCAGGGCCAUGUCCAGGAACUGGGCUCAGGGGACCUCCUGGUGCCACCUGCAUAUCUGAGCCCAUGGAGUUCCUCUGGUCUAUUCAGUUCUCUCAUUUUAACUUAAUUUUGUUUUUGUAGGCUUUCUUAAAAAAUUGCCCAGUUCAUUUACCUGAUCACGUUUAUUGUUCAGAGUUGAGUGUGGUUCUCUCGUAAUUAUUUAGUCUCCACUGGGUCUGUGAUUAUAUUUCCUUUCUUAUUGCUAAUGCUGUUUGUGUUUGAUUUUCUUCUUUUUUUUCUUGGCCUGACUUAAAGAGGUUUGUCUGUUUUAUCUUUAUUUUAAAAAUAACCAACUGUUUAUUUUUACUUCUCCACUGUGAUUUCCCCCUUUAUUUCUUUAAUGUUUGAGUUUAUAUUUUUUCCUAUUUAUUUUGGCUUAAAUUUUAUUAUCAUUUUGCUAUAUCCUUGUGUCAAGCGCUUAAUUCAAUUAUUUUGUUAUUUUGACUUCUAAAAAAUCAGUUAAUUCUAUAAGUUUUCCUCUAUGUACUACAUUGAGCAAACUCCACAGAUUUCUGUAGGGGGCAUACUAAUUGUAAUUCAAUUUCGUUUUCCAUGUGUAGGUCCAGAUUUAUUUGAAUGUCCAAAUACUUAGAAUUGUAGGCUCUUGUUUUGUUAUUAAAGUCUGGUUUUAUUACAUUGUGUUUAGAGAAAAUAAUAUGGAGGAUUUUAAUUUUAGAUAAAGCAUUAAUAUCUUUUUUAUCCUCAAACAUGAUCAAUUUUUGACAGUGUUCCAAAAAUAUACUAUGAAAUAUAUAUUAUCUGUUGGAAUAGAGUAAUAUAUGUACACACUCUGCCAUGUGCAUAUGUUUAUAUAUCAUAUUUAGUCAAUGGUAGUUGUGUUAGCCAAGUCCUGGAGUCAUCUCGAUUCAAGUUUGUUGAGGCAGAAUUGUCAAUUUCGUCCUCAGCUCAGCUUCAACUACUUAACAGAACCUGAUUCAUAUAGGAAUUAAGUAAAUGUUUGUUGAAUGAAA
Long non-coding RNA from Homo sapiens (human), 1630 nucleotides. Ensembl annotates it as long intergenic non-protein coding RNA 840. Lineage: Eukaryota; Metazoa; Chordata; Mammalia; Primates; Hominidae. The record is from Ensembl.